This 496-nucleotide ribosomal RNA is filed under the name uncultured Desulfobulbus sp. Its description in RNAcentral is "bacterial SSU rRNA". It matches the Rfam family "Bacterial small subunit ribosomal RNA", at positions 894 to 1382 of the family's 1533-position model. Lineage: Bacteria; Pseudomonadati; Thermodesulfobacteriota; Desulfobulbia; Desulfobulbales; Desulfobulbaceae. The record is from RNAcentral.
CAGAAACUCAAAGGAAGUUCGACGGGGGCCCGCACAAGCGGUGGAGUAUGUGGUUUAAUUCGAUGCAACGCGAAGAACUUACCUGGUCUUGACAUCCCGGAGACCCUUAGGAAACUAGGGGGUGCUUCCAUCUGGAAGAAUCUGGAGACAGGUGCUGCAUGGCUGUCGUCAGCUCGUGUCGUGAGAUGUUGGGUUAAAGUCCCGCAACGAGCGCAACCCUUGCCUUUAGUUGCCAGCAGUUCGGCUGGGCACUCUAAAGGGACUGCCGGUGUUAAACCGGAGGAAGGUGGGGAUGACGUCAAGUCCUCAUGGCCUUUAUGACCAGGGCUACACACGUACUACAAUGGCCGAUACAAAGGGCAGCGACACUGCGAGGUGAAGCCAAUCCCGUAAAAUCGGUCUCAGUCCGGAUUGGAGUCUGCAACUCGACUCCAUGAAGUUGGAAUCGCUAGUAAUCGUGGAUCAGCAUGCCACGGUGAAUACGUUCCCGGGCCUU